This 201-nucleotide long non-coding RNA is filed under the name Phaseolus vulgaris (common bean). RNAcentral describes it as "long non-coding RNA (PVUL_LNC002475)". Lineage: Eukaryota; Viridiplantae; Streptophyta; Magnoliopsida; Fabales; Fabaceae. The record is from RNAcentral.
UAAAGCGUAAUUAAAAGGUAAUUAGCAUAAAUUAAGUUGUAAGGAAUUUAAGAAAAACCCCCUUUGUUGAUCCUCUUUUUGCUAGUGACACUCCCUCUUGUUGUCUUUGCUUGUUAGCCCUCCAAAUGUGUAUAGUGUUUUGAGAAAGUGUGCUUCGGCUUUGUCUUUGUCUUCUCCUUAGAAUGAAGGUCUUGAUUCUCC